ACCAACCCAAACAGAACGGUGAUGCAUCAGGCGAGGGCUCGUCAGAGACCAGAACCUUGCCAUCCUCGGAAUCUGACGAGGUUGUACCCAAAAGGAAAAA
Molecule: long non-coding RNA, 100 nt
Organism: Saccostrea echinata
Lineage: Eukaryota; Metazoa; Mollusca; Bivalvia; Ostreida; Ostreidae
Exons: 3
Source: RefSeq, a predicted model, not a curated record